Molecule: ribosomal RNA, 563 nt
Filed under: uncultured Gammaproteobacteria bacterium
Lineage: Bacteria; Pseudomonadati; Pseudomonadota; Gammaproteobacteria
Description: SSU rRNA
Rfam family: Bacterial small subunit ribosomal RNA
Source: RNAcentral
AGAGUUUGAUCCUGGCUCAGGACGAACGCUGGCGGCGCGCCUAAUGCAUGCAAGUCGAGCGACGCAUUCCUUAGCCCGUAAGGGCGGGUUUGACGGAGCGGCGAGCGGGUGCGUAACACGUGACCAAUCUGCCCCGAAGACCGGGAUAGCCCGGGGAAACCCGGAUUAAUACCGGAUGAUCUCAUAGCAACGCAUGUUGGAAUGAGCAAAGGUUCAGGCGCUUCGGGAUGAGGUCGCGGUCCAUCAGCUAGUUGGUGAGGUAACGGCUCACCAAGGCAACGACGGGUAGCUGGUCUGAGAGGACGAUCAGCCACACUGGAACUGAGAUACGGUCCAGACUCCUACGGAGGCAGCAGCAGGGAAUCUUGCGCAAUGGGCGAAAGCCUGACGCAGCGACGCCGCGUGGGGGAUGAAGGCCUUAGGGUUGUAAACCCCUUUCACGAGGGAAGAAAAUGACGGUACCUCGAGAAGAAGCCCCGGCCAACUACGUGCCAGCAGCCGCGGUAAUACGUAGGGGGCGAGCGUUGUCCGGAUUUAUGGGGCGUAAAGGGCUCGUAGGCGGC